This is a long non-coding RNA of Hordeum vulgare subsp. vulgare (domesticated barley), 2468 nucleotides long. RefSeq lists it as uncharacterized. The transcript has 8 exons. The record is from RefSeq and is a predicted model, not a curated record. Lineage: Eukaryota; Viridiplantae; Streptophyta; Magnoliopsida; Poales; Poaceae.
CGCCCCGCCCACGGCCGCCCCUGCUCGCCCCGCCCACCACCGCCCCCUGCUCGCCUGCAAGCGAGGAGAUAACAAAAAGGAGAAGCCGUUCAACGACAUGAGGACGGCGAACAUCGGCGAGGCGGACUGCCGCGUCACAGGGAGAAAACUAGCAGCCUCCUAGGGUUCAACCUUGGCGGCAAAAUCUCCACAACAAUGAGGGGGAUUCGAAGAGCAUUCUGUCAAUAUCUGAUGUUACUUGUUACAUUUUUUCUGAAAUUUAAAAGCUUUCAGGUGUGUAAUGAAUUUCAGUAACAGUUUCACUGCUCUUUUUUUGUUAUAUGUCACGUUUACAGUCGAAUGAAAUUUCCGGGCAUUUGUCGCUUAAAUCGUUGCAAGUGAGCUUCAGACUGAGGUCACGACUUCACCAGCCCAUCCUAUUGUCUUUGCCUCCUAUCCCUGAAUCCUGAAAAGACAGUGGGGUUCGGUCCAAGAUUGCCAAGGACGAUGAGCGUCUUGGUGGUGCAGCUGCGGACAGCUGCGAUCAUCGGCAGAAGGCACGAACACUAGGAAAUAUGCUACAACAAGUGCAUCAGGAGUGAAGUCAGGAGAAUAGCUUCUUCUGGGCUUGAGGUUUCAACAGAUUGAUUUCAACGGAAGGAUGCCGGUGCACUGGCUGUAUCUAUGUGCAAGGAAUUCUGCUUCUUGUAGUUGCAGGACCAUGAGAUGUCGACACUGCACUCUGGACACACCAAGGUGUCAGACAGGUGAGUGAUGGUGCCAAGACUCUCGAUUUCUUCAGCUUGAAGAAGCUACGACAACUUGACUCAAUUAUGCAUAUCGCCGAGCUAUCCGACCUGCUGCUAGGAACCUACUCCUCCUCCUAUUGGAUAGUCCCAGAGACAAACAUCUGUAUAAUACAGGCUGCAGCCUUGAAGGCUAGAGCUGAAGACUCAACUAGCUUGAUCUCUACAACUAACAUGAUGAUAUGUAUAUUUUUGCUAAAAGAUUCGGUGUCUGAAGGUACUCCACCCUGCUCCAUCUCAGUUUUGGUCAAAUCUGAAUAUUCUUGCUGUAUCAAGCUGCUGUUUCAGAAUUGUACUGAUCCUAAGUUACAGCAGUGUUGGAUUAUGCUGAAGAUUGUAUAGAUCCUAAGUUACAGCAGUGUUGCAUCUUUAAACUCAUAACAUUGUGCUGAAGAUUGUACUGAUCCUAAGUUACAACAGUGCUAAAGAUCGAAACGCAAUCCUGAUCAAAGUGAUAAGCUCCAAUCAGGUAGUCCUGGUGCUCUCAUAUGAGUCAUGGGCAUGCUUGAUGCAGAAUUGGCCAGUGUAAACUUCACUAUGCAUUCUUGGGUGGUAAAUAAAUAGAGUAUUCUCAAAUUAUUCAAUCAAAACAUUACAUGAUGUUUUUGUGCUCUUGUUGUGUAACUGUACCGAAGUGCUAUGGACACAAUUUCUUUAGUGGAUUCCCUGUAAUAACAUAAGGCUGUUAUAUUGGAGAACAUCGCAAUCUUUCCACCACAAAUUUGAAAUGAUUCUGGAUGCACUUUCUUCUUUCUAAUCGUUGUUCCUGUAGGAAACUGAAUUGUUUCUGAAGGUGCAUGAGAGGAACAGAAACACAUGACUGGCCACAUUGCAUAGCAAUGUGCAAAGCAUGGAAAUUCUCACAUUCUUUCUAGAUAAUUGCCUAAAGAUUACCUUUUAGUCUUUAAUGCUACUGGAGUUGCCAACAAUGAUGAUAAGAAUUUACUUGGAGUACAUUGAACUCACACUGAUCAAAAUGUGAUGUUGUUGCUGUGUUGAUCACUGAACCUGAAUUCAGUUACCACUGUUGACGAGGCAAUGACAGCCGCCACUGCUGCCAAUCAACAGAGGAGGUGAGGACAGCCUGGGGCGGCGCUGGGUGAGGUGAGAUGGUGGGGCGUCAUAGAUUGGCAGCGACCCGCUUGGUCCUAUGGCGAGCCGGCGGUGAGCCAUAGGAGCGGAGGGUGCUUGUUGUUGCCGAGGUACUUGAGGUACUUGGGGUUGACGUGGGGAAAAAGAACUAUUGGGGGGUCAUCGGAAUUGACGACGAAGCGGACCGACAGGUCCCACCACUCCACCGCUGCCAACUACACCGUCGGGAUCGCCGGGGUCGGAGAAGGGGAGGAGGACGAAGCAGAGGGGGCGGGGCGUGAUUAACAUGGGCGGUGCAGAUUGAAGCGGCGACGCGGGUGGGUGCGCAGAGCGCUGGGCCCUGCGGCGGCUGCCGGCGAUGGCUGGAGCUCGUUCCUGCCGCGGGCGAAGAGGCAAGGGUGAUUUGCAGGGACUAUAAUAUCACAAGGUUUUUUUUGCAAAAACGAAAAUAAACUAACCCGUGGACAACUUUUUUCGGACGGAGGGAGUAUCUCUUACAUGUUCACUUGGACAAAGCUUAAGUUUAUAGUCAUAUAAAGUUCAUAAAUACGUUCUAAAAUAUUCAUGAAAUAUUUAAUUCCAUUUUUGUUA